CAGUCGCCGCGGUAAUACGAAGGGGGCUAGCGUUGCUCGGAAUUACUGGGCGUAAAGGGAGCGUAGGCGGACUGUUUAGUCAGAGGUGAAAGCCCAGGGCUCAACCUUGGAAUUGCCUUUGAUACUGGCAGUCUUGAGUACGGAAGAGGUAUGUGGAACUCCGAGUGUAGAGGUGAAAUUCGUAGAUAUUCGGAAGAACACCAGUGGCGAAGGCGACAUACUGGUCCGUUACUGACGCUGAGGCACGAAAGCGUGGGGAGCAAACAGGAUUAGAGACCCGCGUAGUCCCUGUCUCUUAUAU
RNAcentral lists this ribosomal RNA (301 nucleotides) under uncultured bacterium. RNAcentral's name for it is "partial 16S ribosomal RNA". It matches the Rfam family "Bacterial small subunit ribosomal RNA", at positions 509 to 809 of the family's 1533-position model. The record is from RNAcentral.